GAAGGGGUGCAAUUUUUCAUCUUCAGGUGGAGCUAUGAGAGUCCGAAGGCAAAAUCGGAUUGUGUGUGAGACGAACAAGCGUGGGUACUUAUACGUUCUGAAUGGAAGCACAGUCAGAACGGGAGCGAUGGCGAUUUGAGUUCCAAAAGUUUGCGGAGGUGCAGUCACUCAAGGCGGAGCGGCGACAUCGAGCGAAGGAGACAAGCUCAAGAUGGAGCUUGCAUGGUGAGCUCGACGCAGCGGUUGAAAACUACAAAUCUAACCAAGGUGGAGAAUGUUAGGAUUUGGUUAGAUUUGUAGAUUAAUUCUAGUUGGAUAAAGAUUAAUAUUCAUAUCUAUUAGAGAUAAAUUAAGAGUUAAAUAUUAAUUAGAGUAUGAAUCUAACUAGAUUAUGAUAAAUAUUUAAAUCUAUUAGAGAUAGAAUAAAUAUAGAUUUAAAUAUUAAUUGGAGUAGAAAUCCUAAUUGGACUAGGAUUCGCGUUCGUUUUAGAGGAUGUAUUAUAAAAGCACUCUUUGGAUUCUUUUGGAGUAGAGAGUAUAGUGAGAGAGAGUGCCUUCUUGAUUGAAGCCGUAUUAGGAGAGAGAAAGUAAUGGUUGCAUGCACCUAGUGCAUAGGUGCAUGUGAGAGAGAAAAAGAGAGAGUUGUCUUCUUAUGGGUUUAUAGAAGACGAGAGAAGGGUAGAAGAGAUUCGAAAGGAGGGCUCAGGUUGUAGCUACUCUACUGUAGAAGAGGAGUUAGUUGUAAUCUUCUUUUAUUUAAUGAAUCUUAUUUUACCCGCAUAUUUUUUUGUUUUAAUUUUUUCUUUCUUUUAUGAUUGUAUUAGAUUUUGUUGAGAAGAUAAGUUUAUAGUAAAAAAAAUCCGAUUCGACGCUUCCAUUGCGGAAUCCCAACAAUCGGUACCGAAUCAACAACAGUCAGUAUCCGAGUGGGUUACGAAUUCUCAAAAUUUGGUACCGGGCGAGUACUGGAUUUCCAACAUAAAGGGACUUUUUCUGUUAGUGGAGGGUUUAAAACUUGGAAUAAGAAAGAUAAAUUGGAUAUGCAUGUUGGUGAAUAUAAUAGUAACAAUAAUGAAGUUGUCAAAAAAUGUGAAG
Molecule: long non-coding RNA, 1095 nt
Filed under: Ananas comosus (pineapple)
Lineage: Eukaryota; Viridiplantae; Streptophyta; Magnoliopsida; Poales; Bromeliaceae
Description: long non-coding RNA (ACOM_LNC005812)
Source: RNAcentral